CGGCCUUGAAAUACCACCCUUUAAUGUUUGAUGUUCUAACGUUGACCCGUGAUCCGGGUUGCGGACAGUGUCUGGUGGGUAGUUUGACUGGGGCGGUCUCCUCCUAAAGAGUAACGGAGGAGCACGAAGGUUGGCUAAUCCUGGUCGGACAUCAGGAGGUUAGUGCAAUGGCAUAAGCCAGCUUGACUGCGAGCGUGACGGCGCGAGCAGGUGCGAAAGCAGGUCAUAGUGAUCCGGUGGUUCUGAAUGGAAGGGCCAUCGCUCAACGGAUAAAAGGUACUCCGGGGAUAACAGGCUGAUACCGCCCAAGAGUUCAUAUCGACGGCGGUGUUUGGCACCUCGAUGUCGGCUCAUCACAUCCUGGGGCUGAAGUAGGUCCCAAGGGUAUGGCUGUUCGCCAUUUAAAGUGGUACGCGAGCUGGGUUUAGAACGUCGUGAGACAGUUCGGUCCCUAUCUGCCGUGGGCGCUGGAGAACUGAGGGGGGCUGCUCCUAGUACGAGAGGACCGGAGUGGACGCAUCACUGGUGUUCGGGUUGUCAUGCCAAUGGCACUGCCCGGUAGCUAAAUGCGGAAGAGAUAAGUGCUGAAAGCAUCUAAGCACGAAACUUGCCCCGAGAUGAGUUCUCCCUGACUCCUUGAGAGUCCUGAAGGAACGUUGAAGACGACGACGUUGAUAGGCCGGGUGUGUAAGCGCAGCGAUGCGUUGAGCUAACCGGUACUAAUGAACCGUGAGGCUUAACCUU
Molecule: ribosomal RNA, 744 nt
Filed under: Escherichia coli
Lineage: Bacteria; Pseudomonadati; Pseudomonadota; Gammaproteobacteria; Enterobacterales; Enterobacteriaceae
Description: partial 23S ribosomal RNA
Rfam family: Bacterial large subunit ribosomal RNA
Source: RNAcentral